RNAcentral lists this ribosomal RNA (1357 nucleotides) under uncultured Pseudoalteromonas sp. RNAcentral describes it as "partial 16S ribosomal RNA". It matches the Rfam family "Bacterial small subunit ribosomal RNA", at positions 154 to 1476 of the family's 1533-position model. The record is from RNAcentral. Lineage: Bacteria; Pseudomonadati; Pseudomonadota; Gammaproteobacteria; Alteromonadales; Pseudoalteromonadaceae.
GAACGACUGCUAAUACCGCAUAAUGUCUACGGACCAAAGGGGGCUUCGGCUCUCGCCUUUAGAUUGGCCCAAGUGGGAUUAGCUAGUUGGUGAGGUAAUGGCUCACCAAGGCGACGAUCCCUAGCUGGUUUGAGAGGAUGAUCAGCCACACUGGGACUGAGACACGGCCCAGACUCCUACGGGAGGCAGCAGUGGGGAAUAUUGCACAAUGGGCGCAAGCCUGAUGCAGCCAUGCCGCGUGUGUGAAGAAGGCCUUCGGGUUGUAAAGCACUUUCAGUCAGGAGGAAAGGUUAGUAGUUAAUACCUGCUAGCUGUGACGUUACUGACAGAAGAAGCACCGGCUAACUCCGUGCCAGCAGCCGCGGUAAUACGGAGGGUGCGAGCGUUAAUCGGAAUUACUGGGCGUAAAGCGUACGCAGGCGGUUUGUUAAGCGAGAUGUGAAAGCCCCGGGCUCAACCUGGGAACUGCAUUUCGAACUGGCAAACUAGAGUGUGAUAGAGGGUGGUAGAAUUUCAGGUGUAGCGGUGAAAUGCGUAGAGAUCUGAAGGANANUNANCNCGNAUGGCGAAGGCAGCCACCUGGGUCAACACUGACGCUCAUGUACGAAAGCGUGGGGAGCAAACGGGUAUUAGAUACCCCGGUAGUCCACGCCGUAAACGAUGUCUACUAGAAGCUCGGAGCCUCGGUUCUGUUUUUCAAAGCUAACGCAUUAAGUAGACCGCCUGGGGAGUACGGCCGCAAGGUUAAAACUCAAAUGAAUUNGACGGGGGCCCGCACAAGCGGUGGAGCAUGNUGGUUUAAUUCGAUGCAACGCGAAGAACCNUUACCUACACUUGACAUACAGAGAACUUACCAGAGAUGGUUUGGUGNCCUUNCGGGAACUCUGANUACANGGUGCUGCNAUGGCUGUCGUCANGCUCNGUGUUNGNUGNAGAUGUUNGGGUUNAAGUNCCCNGCANACGNAGCGCNAACCCCUAUCCUUNAGUUNGCNUAGCAGGUAAUGCUGAGAANCUCUAAGGAGACUGCCGGUGAUNAAACCGGAGGAAGGUGGGGANCGNACGNUCAAGUCAUCAUGGCCCUUACGUGUAGGGCUACACACGNUGCUACAAUGGCGCAUACAGAGUGCUGCGAACCUGCGAAGGUAAGCGAAUCACUUAAAGUGCGUCGUAGUCCGGAUUGGAGUCUGCAACUCGACUCCAUGAAGUCGGAAUCGCUAGUAAUCGCGUAUCAGAAUGACGCGGUGAAUACGUUCCCGGGCCUUGUACACACCGCCCGUCACACCAUGGGGAGUGGGUUGCUCCAGAAGUAGAUAGUCUAACCCUCGGGAGGACGUUUACCACGGAGUGAUUCAUGACU